UCCAACUCGACCCGCCCCUGGAGGCGGACCCGAGUUGACUUAAACUCUGGGGCCGCGAGGCGCUGCGUUUUCCCCGCUCACCCUGGCUGGGUUGCGUUCCCGUUGGACCAAAGAAGUAAACACGCACUGUGGAGUGGUACUGACACGGGGAAAUGGGAACAUAUACAGUAAUGAAUGAGUAAUAUCAUAUUUAAAGAUUCCUGACAUUCAAAACAGCUGGCUUUUAAUACACUGCUACUGCAUCAAAUCGACAAUGAACUGGAAUGCAAAAUCAGAGAGUGUCACCUUACCACCACAGUAUCCUAAAAAACAGGCAUCUUUUUUGGAGCAAGCUUUAGUAAACACACUUACCACAGCAUCUCAAAGUUCUUUAAACCAUCCUGGAAGUAACCAAGAACCAUGCCUAUUUCUCAGUAAUUUAAAUCCAGUUUCACAGCCGCUGCUCAACAUCAGAAAUUAUAAAACUCCUCAACAAAUCCCUAUUUCUGAUAUGCAUAGUGGGACCAUUGUGACCUCACAAACUUCAGUAGAAAGAAUAACAUAUGCAAAUGUUAAAGGACCCAAACAACCAAAUCACGAUUUGCAAAUGUCUUCAGGAGUUACACAGGAUGUAUGGUUGAACUCACCAAUGAGGAAUUCUAUGCUUUCUCAUACAGGGACAACUGUAUCUCAUCAGACUGGUUUUGGAACGAAUACACCCAAUGUACGUGCACUACAGAAUCAAUUUCUAACAUCAGAUACCUAUUCUAUGCAACUACAAAUGAUCCCUUCUAAUUCCAGAAGAGUUCCUAUAACUUAUCAAGGAAACCCGAGACUUAACCUACCUUUAUCAGAGCAACAGGUUGAUUGGGCACAGCAGUGUGCAUCCAGUGGGUUGACUUACCCAGAUUACAGACCACUUCCAAAGCAAUAUAGUUAUUCAUCACAAAGCUUUUUGCAGGAUCCUACUCUUCAGAAACAAACCCCUAUGUCAUCUGUAUCAUUACAAGUUAAAAAUAGUCAAUCUCCAAAUCCUGCCCUGACUUUACAGUCAAAGCAGAUUGGAACUGUACCAUCAUAUCAAUAUGCAGUUACUCAAACUGACAAAAGACCUCCUCCUCCUCCUUAUGACUGUAGGUAUGCAAGCCAGCCUCUGCAAAGUACUCAGCAUGUUGUUAAACACACUUCUAUGGAAGUUCCUCAGAGUCAAGAAAUGCACUUACCUGAAACGAGAAAAGACUUUUGUAGAGGCUUUCAGCAGCAGUGGCAAAACCUUAAUGAAAAUUUCAACACAAUGGGAAAUUCCUGUAACUUGAGAGUAAAUACCAAUGUCAAUCAGCCUUUUAAUGAACCUAUUAGAUCUUCUGUGGAUGGUGUUCAGGCUCUUACUCAAAAUAAUCAAGAGAAAAGAGUGGAUUCUCGAAAUCUAACUUCAAAUCAAGUACUGGACACAAGUGCCACAAAAGAAAAGUUAGUGAGGGAUAUUAAAACAUUAGUAGAAAUAAAAAAGAAGUUUUCGGACCUUGCAAGGAAAAUUAAAAUUAAUAAAAAUCUUUUGAUGGCAGCAGGUUGUAUUAAAACAACUAAUAACUCUUACAGUGAAUCAGCUCAAAAUUGUGGGUUGUCUCUGAAACAAACUGCCAAAAUCCAGUCUGGACCACAGGUAACCCUAGGCCCUCCAGAUGCUGUGGAGGAUAAACCACCAACGGUAAUGGAAUCUGCAGAAGAAACAAAUAGAACACACAAUGCAUUGAAUUCCAACCUUCAGGACAGAAAUUUUAACCAAGUCAGUUCUGUUUUACUAAAUUCUGGCUGUUCACAAGUUGUGAGUUCUUUAAAGACAUCAACUGUUGAGAUUACCCAGGCAAUAUUAAAUAACACCCAGUUUUCAUCAGGAAAUUUAGUCAACGUUGCACAAAAUGUGCCAACAAAUUCUGAAGCAACUUCUCUUCCUCAGUCUACAUCUUUUGAGGAAUAUGUUUCAAAAUAUCCAAAUAAAAAUAGGCUAAUUCUCAGUUUACUUGCAUCUGGAAAUAAAACUCAGAAGAAAUUAUUAAAAGAUACUAAUGAACAUAUUCAUGAUUCUAAACUGCAUAGUUUUGAAAUGAAUCCAAAUAUCCAGAACACUGGUAACCAAGUGAAUUUGAAACCCAUGGAAACUCCAGGUACUCCAAGUACUUGUAAUAUAAAUGCCAAGAUUUCAAACAACUCUUACUUUGAGCAUAAAUCCUUCAAUGGAAUGUCUUCUAAAAGUGACUCUCACUUUUCCAUGGAAUUGCUAGCAACGUGUCUUUCUUUGUGGAAAAAGCAACCUUCAGAACCUACGGAAGAAAAACAGUGUAAUGAGUCAAAAACAAACACAACAGCAGUUGGAAUUUCAAAGCCUGUGGACAUCUGUGACAAGAGUCCAUUUUCAACUGUGGGAAAUUCUCAGAAUAAAAUUGUAAACAGCUCACAAGAAACAGUUUUAUCAAUGGUAGCACAGAAUUAUGAGUCUUCAGGAGCAACUACUACAAAGGGGAUUGCUGUAGUAUCACCCUUAAUUCUUUCAGAUGUCAAAACAUUGUCUGUCAAAGGUAUAACACCUGAAGCUUUACCUGAAACAAUGUAUCCAGUUAUUAAAGAAGGCAGUGUUUGUAGCUUACAAAACAAAUCAACGGAAAACACUGCUGCUUUGAAUGUUAAUGAACCAGUGACAAGUACCACAAGCACCAAGAUUUUCCCACUAAUUCAGAAGGAUAAGCAAAGUGAAUCAACUAAUACUAAUUCAGAAGUCACACCUAAUACCAGUCAAGGAAAGCAUAACAAAUCAGAACCAGAUAUCCGGUGUCCUGUGAGUGAUCAGCAAACCACAUAUAUAUCAAAGGACAGUGAUAUCGUGGGCAGAGAUGUAUUACAGAUUGGCAGUAUUUGUUCUCUUGUUGAAGGUGAUACCGCUUAUAAUUCCCAAAUAGCAAAGAUAUUCAACUUGCCCUCUUUGCAAAAGGUUGAGCCACAGAAACCUCUACCCAAUCACCAAGUAAUGAAUAAUAGACAAAAUGAACAAUUUGACAAUAUCACUGGAAAUAAAGACUUUGUCUUUCAAAAAGAGAAUUUUGUACAGUGCACAGAUGUUUCACAUAAAAUAACUGAUCAGUCAGAGUCACUGCAACCUCCAGAACCAUCGACUUUGAAGUACAUUGGAGCAAAGAGUGGAAUUCUUGAGGAAGGCAGUUUAGAGCAUAUCACUAAAAAUGAAAGCAUGGCUAAUGAUAUGUGUUCACCAGCUGCUAUUCAGCACGAUAGUUACCCUCAGGAAGCGGCCCAGGAUCCUACAACAAAUGAGAAUCUCAAAGAUAAGACAUCGAUCUUAUACCUACAUGAUCAGCUGUCAGAACUUUUAAAAGAGUUUCCCUAUGGUAUUGAACCUGUGAACAUGCAUGAAGGUUUUGUGGUCCAACAAAUGGCACACCGAAUCUCAAAAGCUCAAACUUGUGAUAAAACCAGUUGUGACUCCAAAGACUCAACAGACCAGAUACAAAUUACAAUAUUAAAUUCAGAGCAAAUGAAAGAAUUAUUUCCUGAACAGGACGAUCAACCCAAUGAGGUAGACAAACUGACAGAGCCUCAGAAAGAAAAGCCUGUCACAAAAGAAGGGAACCAGUGUGACCCACAAGCACAUACAGUUGAAGAAACCUGUGAUUCUGUAAUACUGGAUUCAGAAAAAGAUGAUGUCCGUUGCUGUGCAUUGGGGUGGCUGUCUAUGGUUUAUGAAGGAGUACCUCAAUGCCAGUGUAAUUCCACUAAGAACUCAACUUCAAAGGAAGAAAAAGGGAAAGAUCCACAUUCUCCUUUGGAGACCAAUGGUUAUAAACAAGGAGAGAGAACUUCUGACAGAGAUGUUCCUAUUGCAUUUAACAGUCCUCCAAAUAAUCAGCCGAAGAUUCCUCUGACUUGUCCAGUUGAGAAAAAACCUUUUCCUGAAACAGAGCAAGGCAGGAAUAUAAAAGAUAAAUCCAAAUCAGAACAUAACAGCUCAUUAAGGACAGAACAAGAAUUAUCUGGUCACUUUUUAUCUAAAGGUGAUAAAAAACCAGAUUCUUUGCAGAGUCACAAAAGAAAAAGAAAACUGCAAUUUCAUGAGAUAACUUUUCAUUCCACUAACAAAAUUGCAAAAUUUUCUCAAGAGAGCCUGCAGAGGAAGCUCAUGGCACAAAACUUACGACCACUAAAACCAAAGAUGGGUUUUUUGACAAGUAAAAAUAAAGAUUUGCAUGUGAAGAAUGGUUCUUUGGUACAGUCAGUAUCACCGGAAAAGAGAAAAUUGAAAGCAGGUGGCUCUAAAAAAGUUUUGGAAAAGAAGUUAGAUGAAGGGAGCAUACUUGAUUCAGAGAUAAAGAGGAAGAAGUAUGAUAAACAAGAGCAGAAUAAGAAUGUGGGAGGUGGUGCAUUUAAAUUCUGUAACCCUUUCUCAACCACAGGUGAAAGAGCCAGGAUUAAAGAAAAGACAGUGUCAAAUGUUAAGUCCUCAGGCUCUAUGGAUAGCUCAUCUAAAAUUAAUAGAGUUCUAUCACCAAAGGAGUAUUUAUCAAGGCAGAAGCAUAAAGAAGCAUUAAAGAAAAACUAUCUGAAAAACGUACCAUGUGAUUCUCAGUAUAUGAGGUCCAAUAAACUUUCUACGCGAGUGGGAAGUUGUGGGAGAUCAAAUGAGAGACACAAUGGCAGUGUACAGACCUCUAAGGAAUCAUUAAAUAUUGGUACAAGCCAUGGUAAAAACCUCAAAGCCCAUCAUUCCAAGGAGUCUAAAACAUACGUUUCAAGGAAUAUUAAAGGAACAGUUGGUGGAAAGCAACCUGAUAAAAUGUGGAUUGAUAAAACCAAAUUAGACAAAAAUUUAAGUAAUGUAAAUAAUGACGUUGAAUUCAGCCAAAUGGCUUCCCAAGCAAAAGAUCAAAGGAAACUGUAUCUGAACAGAGUUGCAUUUAAAUGCACUGAACGUGAGCGCAUUUGUCUCACAAAAUUAGACAGUUCACCCAGGAAGCUUAAUAAAGAAAAGAGACCAGAAAGUAAACCUAAGACCCUUUUACCUGUAAAAGAUACCACAGAGAAACUAAGCAUGCUGGAGUUUAAAUUAUGUCCAGAUGGACUAUUUAAGAAUACAAACCCUGUUGAAGACCAGAAGGAUCUGCCAUUUACUCCUAGGAAGGAGCAAGCUCCUGUGCAAGUUUCAGGAAUAAAAAGUACAAAAGAAGACUGGUUAAAAUGUGUGACUGAGGAGAAAAGGAUGCCGGAAGCCAACCAAGAAAUAGGGUUUUGCAUUGAGAACUGGAACCUAGGGUUCAGGAAUUUUAUUUUAGUUUUGGUUAAUUAAAUACACAAAGAAGAGUUCAUAAGAGUCUUUUGAAAAUUGGGAGAAGCAGAAUUUUGCCAGGAGCAACAAUAAAGAGAAGCAAGAGAAGAAGUGUGACAAAGGUUGAGAAGAGCUUAUAAAGAAUAUAUGUAAGCAGGCAUGUAGAAAUGGAGUCAUACAUUGAAGAUACAUAAAGGGAAAAAGAAACCUGAAUGAAAGAAUUGAAGGAAGAAGAAAUGUACACUCUUAAUUAGAACAGGAAGACAACUGAAAGAGGGGAAAAUGAAUUAGUGAGAGAGUAGAAAACACACCCCUACAGUUGGAACACAGGAAGUGAAAUAUGAGAAAGAUGGAAAUGGGUGUGGAGAUUGCAGCAAGAAAGUACCUUGGAAAAAGGGAGGGCCAUAAGUUUUGCCUCAGAGAGAGUUGAGAGGCAUAACUUGAAUCUGAAUCUGAAAAUACUCAGAAGACAGAUAUAUGCACAGGUUGACCAGAGGCUCAGGGAGCAGCAUGAGCUAAACAACAGACAUGAAGAUACCUGCAGACAGGAUGAGCAAUAAACACUGAAGGUGGGACAUCAGUACUCAGGAUCACUAUGAAAAUGACACAAAGCAGGGCCCAGGCGCAAUGAGAGAUGCAGCAGGGUGAGAGAAAAGCUAAGAAACAAGUCCAGAGCUCUGUCAAAAGUCUUACGAGACUCGGGGAAAUCAUGAAAGACAGAACAUACCAAGAGGAAGAGACUGGAGAACUGGAACUCCCAGAGAGCUAUAAAAAACACACUUUAGAUAAGCGACACCUAAAUUUGGUGGCAAAGGUUGGAGCGUAGAUGGAGCAAGCCGUGAAACUGUCAGGGUGAGGUAGAAGAAGAAGAGGUGACAGAAUCCAGCGGAAAGCAGCUUAGAGCUGCACCUCAGGUAUCAGCAUUCAUAACAGAAAGCUGAUGUGCAUGGAGAGAAAUUUGAAACAUAAAGAAUUAAGAGUAACCAUCCUCUGUUACCAAAAAAAUAAAGAAAGAAGAGGACAGAGUGCUUGACCCACCCAGGCAGAAAAAGAUGAUAAUGUUUUGGCUAAUUCAAGACUCUCCAAGAGAAGUUUCAGUGCAGAUGGAUUUGAGACACUACAAAACCCAG
Molecule: RNA transcript, 6438 nt
Organism: Balaenoptera ricei (Rice's whale)
Lineage: Eukaryota; Metazoa; Chordata; Mammalia; Artiodactyla; Balaenopteridae
Gene: RESF1
Gene name: retroelement silencing factor 1
Exons: 6
Source: RefSeq, a predicted model, not a curated record